This 424-nucleotide ribosomal RNA is filed under the name uncultured bacterium. RNAcentral describes it as "bacterial SSU rRNA". It matches the Rfam family "Bacterial small subunit ribosomal RNA", at positions 356 to 773 of the family's 1533-position model. The record is from RNAcentral.
GGGGAAUCUUGCGCAAUGGCCGAAAGGCUGACGCAGCGACGCCGCGUGGAGGAUGAAGGUCUUCGGAUUGUAAACUCCUGUUGCCCGGGACGAAAAGCUUCGAUCUAACACGUCGAGGUCUGACGGUACCGGGUGAGGAAGCCCCGGCUAACUCCGUGCCAGCAGCCGCGGUAAUACGGAGGGUGCGAGCGUUGUCCGGAAUCAUUGGGCGUAAAGGGCGCGUAGGUGGCCCAGUCAGCGUGCGGUGAAAGCUCGGGGCUCAACCCCGAGUCGGCCGUGCGAACUACUGGGCUGGAGCACUGUAGAGGCAGGCGGAAUCCCGGGUGUAGCGGUGGAAUGCGUAGAGAUCCGGAAGAACACCGGUGGCGAAGGCGGCCUGCUGGGCAGUUGCUGACACUGAGGCGCGACAGCGUGGGGAGCAAAC